UUGUACAUAUCCAUGCCAAUGUGUAUCCAUAUUGUGCUUAUCUAUGCUAAUAUGUAUCCACAUUGUACUUAUCCAUACUACUAUGUAUCCAUUGUAUCAGGGUUUAUGUUUAUGGAGACACUGAGCCUACUGGGAAAUACUGGGACAAACUAAAGAAAGAAAAAGUCACAUUUGUCCACAUAGAUAGUAUUACCUCAAUAUUUCAGCAGCAAAUCAAGGAAAGGGUGCAUAAAAAAGAAGUUUUAAAAGCUUUGGUUCUACAUAAAUUUGGAGGAGUAUAUAAUGAUAACGACGUGCUUUGGAUGAAGCCGAUUUCUGAAGAUCUCCGAGGGUACCCGACCGUAGCUAGCCUGGAACUGUCAGGUGAAGCAGAGUUUUCUAGAGUGGUCAGCAGCCGCGUCCUCGUCUCCAAACCCAAGGCUCCAUUUUUUACUCACGUACU
Long non-coding RNA from Physella acuta, 442 nucleotides. RefSeq lists it as uncharacterized. NCBI's taxonomy places the organism in Eukaryota, Metazoa, Mollusca, Gastropoda, Physidae. The record is from RefSeq and is a predicted model, not a curated record.